GCACAUCAGGCAGGGGAGCGACAGUGCGUGCCUGCGCGCCGGCAGCCGAUGGAACUGAACGAUGUGCCGUUUGCCGUAGCUAGCGCAGAGCUGCCUAACAGGAUCAGUGCUCUCCCUUAUUAGAGGCAAUUACGUACUUCGUCUGCCUAUCACAGUGCCCCGGCAGGGCCACACUGCUCAGAUCUUUUCUUUCAGGCUCCCUCCAAGGUCACGUUUAAGGUUUUGGGGUUGGAUUGUUCACCCACUAGCAGGGAACGUGAGCUGGGCUUAGACCGUCGUGAGACAGGUUAGUUUUACCCUACUGAUGAUGUGU
This 313-nucleotide non-coding RNA is filed under the name Cathartes aura (turkey vulture). Its description in RNAcentral is "Eukaryotic large subunit ribosomal RNA". It matches the Rfam family "Eukaryotic large subunit ribosomal RNA", at positions 2907 to 3008 of the family's 3401-position model. Lineage: Eukaryota; Metazoa; Chordata; Aves; Accipitriformes; Cathartidae. The record is from Rfam by way of RNAcentral.